CCCUUAGACGUUCUGGGCCGCACGCGUGCUACACUGAGUGGAUCAGCGGGUCAGGUUGCGCGAAAGCGUUUCCUAAUCUUUAAAUCCGCUCGUGAUGGGGAUUGACGGUUGCAAUUUUCUGUCAUGAACGAGGAAUACCUUGUAAGCGCGGGUCAUCAUCCCGCGCUGAAUACGUCCCUGCCCUUUGUACACACCGCCCGUCGCUCCUACCGAUUGAGUGGUCCGGUGAGGCUUUGGGAUCUGAGCGGAAAGAGCGUUUCGCUGUUUCUGCUCGGAAAACUCAGUCGAACCUUAUCAUUUAGAGGAAGGAGAAGUCGUAACA
This 322-nucleotide ribosomal RNA is filed under the name uncultured eukaryote. RNAcentral's name for it is "partial 18S ribosomal RNA". It matches the Rfam family "Eukaryotic small subunit ribosomal RNA", at positions 1470 to 1796 of the family's 1831-position model. The record is from RNAcentral.